Molecule: transfer RNA, 82 nt
Filed under: Thermoprotei archaeon
Lineage: Archaea; Thermoproteati; Thermoproteota; Thermoprotei
Description: tRNA-Ser
Rfam family: tRNA
About the family: Transfer RNA (tRNA) molecules are approximately 80 nucleotides in length. Their secondary structure includes four short double-helical elements and three loops (D, anti-codon, and T loops). Further hydrogen bonds mediate the characteristic L-shaped molecular structure. tRNAs have two regions of fundamental functional importance: the anti-codon, which is responsible for specific mRNA codon recognition, and the 3' end, to which the tRNAs corresponding amino acid is attached (by aminoacyl-tRNA synthetases). tRNAs cope with the degeneracy of the genetic code in two manners: having more than one tRNA (with a specific anti-codon) for a particular amino acid; and 'wobble' base-pairing, i.e. permitting non-standard base-pairing at the 3rd anti-codon position.
Source: RNAcentral
CCGGGGUGCCCGAGCGGACUAAGGGGUUGGGCUCGAGACCCAAUGCCCCUCUGGGGCGCGUGGGUUCGAAUCCCACCCCCGG